This 459-nucleotide ribosomal RNA is filed under the name uncultured bacterium. Its description in RNAcentral is "partial 16S ribosomal RNA". It matches the Rfam family "Bacterial small subunit ribosomal RNA", at positions 338 to 795 of the family's 1533-position model. The record is from RNAcentral.
CCUACGGGAGGCAGCAGUGAGGAAUAUUGGUCAAUGGCCGGAAGGCUGAACCAGCCAAGCCGCGUGAGGGAGGAAGGCGCAGAGCGUCGCAGACCUCUUUUGCCGGGGAACAAAAGGCCGGGCUCGUCCGGUCCUGAGGGUCCCCGAAGAAAAAGCAUCGGCUAACUCCGGUCCGUCAGCCGCGGUAAUACGGAGGAUGCGAGCGUUAUCCGGAUUCAUUGGGGUAAAGGGGUGCGCAGGGGGGGCUUUAAGGCGGCGGUGAAAUCGCGGGGCUCAACCCCGCCGAGCCGUGGGAACUGGGGGCCUUGAGUGCGGGGGAGGCAUGCGGAAUGCGUGGUGUAGCGGUGAAAUGCAUAGAUAUCGCGCAGAACCCCGAUUGCGAAGGCAGCGUGCCGUGCCGCCACUGACGCUGAGGCACGAAAGCGCGGGGAUCGAACAGGAUUAGAUACCCGGGUAGUC